This 434-nucleotide ribosomal RNA is filed under the name uncultured bacterium. RNAcentral describes it as "partial 16S ribosomal RNA". It matches the Rfam family "Bacterial small subunit ribosomal RNA", at positions 341 to 792 of the family's 1533-position model. The record is from RNAcentral.
ACGGAAGGCAGCAGUGGGGAAUAUUGCACAAUGGGGGAAACCCUGAUGCAGCGACGCCGCGUGAGCGAAGAAGUAUUUCGGUAUGUAAAGCUCUAUCAGCAGGGAAGAAAAUGACGGUACCUGACUAAGAAGCCCCGGCUAACUACGUGCCAGCAGCCGCGGUAAUACGUAGGGGGCAAGCGUUAUCCGGAUUUACUGGGUGUAAAGGGAGCGUAGACGGCAAGGUAAGUCUGAAGUGAAAUGCCGGGGCUCAACCCCGGAACUGCUUUGGAAACUAUCUCGCUCGAGUGCCGGAGGGGUAAGCGGAAUUCCUAGUGUAGCGGUGAAAUGCGUAGAUAUUAGGAGGAACACCAGUGGCGAAGGCGGCUUACUGGACUGUAACUGACGUUGAGGCUCGAAAGCGUGGGGAGCAAACAGGAUUAGAUACCCUGGUA